AUGAACGCUGGCGGCGUGCCUAAUACAUGCAAGUCGAGCGAACGGACGAGAAGCUUGCUUCUCUGAUGUUAGCGGCGGACGGGUGAGUAACACGUGGAUAACCUACCUAUAAGACUGGGAUAACUUCGGGAAACCGUAGCUAAUACCGGAUAAUAUUUUGAACCGCAUGGUUCAAAAGUGAAAGACGGUCUUGCUGUCACUUAUAGAUGGAUCCGCGCUGCAUUAGCUAGUUGGUAAGGUAACGGCUUACCAAGGCAACGAUGCAUAGCCGACCUGAGAGGGUGAUCGGCCACACUGGAACUGAGACACGGUCCAGACUCCUACGGGAGGCAGCAGUAGGGAAUCUUCCGCAAUGGGCGAAAGCCUGACGGAGCAACGCCGCGUGAGUGAUGAAGGUCUUCGGAUCGUAAAACUCUGUUAUUAGGGAAGAACAUAUGUGUAAGUAACUGUGCACAUCUUGACGGUACCUAAGCAGAAAGCCACGGCUAACUACGU
This 495-nucleotide ribosomal RNA is filed under the name uncultured bacterium. RNAcentral describes it as "partial 16S ribosomal RNA". It matches the Rfam family "Bacterial small subunit ribosomal RNA", at positions 29 to 506 of the family's 1533-position model. The record is from RNAcentral.